This 321-nucleotide ribosomal RNA is filed under the name Dyadobacter sp. SG02. RNAcentral's name for it is "bacterial SSU rRNA". It matches the Rfam family "Bacterial small subunit ribosomal RNA", at positions 1 to 332 of the family's 1533-position model. The record is from RNAcentral. Lineage: Bacteria; Pseudomonadati; Bacteroidota; Cytophagia; Cytophagales; Spirosomataceae.
UUACAAUGGAGAGUUUGAUCCUGGCUCAGGAUGAACGCUAGCGGCAGGCUUAAUACAUGCAAGGCGAAGGGGCAGCAAUGUCACUGUCGUACGGGUGCGUAACGCGUAUGCAACCUACCUAUCACUGGGGGAUAGCCCGGGGAAACCCGGAUUAAUACCGCAUAAAACAGGGGCACCGCAUGGUGAUAUUUGUUAAAGAUUUAUUGGUGAUAGAUGGGCAUGCGUUCGAUUAGCUAGUUGGCGGGGUAACGGCCCACCAAGGCGACGAUCGAUAGGGGAGCUGAGAGGUUGAUCCCCCACACGGGCACUGAGAUACGGGCC